UGAGGAAUAUUGGUCAAUGGGCGCAAGCCUGAACCAGCCAUGCCGCGUGCAGGAAGACGGUCCUAUGGAUUGUAAACUGCUUUUAUUUGGGAAUAAACCUCUUUACGUGUAGAGAGCUGAAGGUACCAAAUGAAUAAGCACCGGCUAACUCCGUGCCAGCAGCCGCGGUAAUACGGAGGGUGCAAGCGUUAUCCGGAAUCAUUGGGUUUAAAGGGGUCCGCAGGCGGUCUUAUAAGUCAGUGGUGAAAGCCUACAGCUCAACUGUAGAACUGCCAUUGAUACUGUAAGACUUGAAUUCGAUCGAAGUGGGCGGAAUAUGACAUGUAGCGGUGAAAUGCUUAGAUAUGUCAUAGAACACCGAUAGCGAAGGCAGCUCACUAGGUCUGGAUUGACGCUCAGGGACGAAAGCGUGGGGAGCAAACAGGAUUAGAUACCC
This 436-nucleotide ribosomal RNA is filed under the name uncultured bacterium. Its description in RNAcentral is "bacterial SSU rRNA". It matches the Rfam family "Bacterial small subunit ribosomal RNA", at positions 355 to 787 of the family's 1533-position model. The record is from RNAcentral.